Molecule: ribosomal RNA, 608 nt
Rfam family: 5.8S ribosomal RNA (bases 177-330)
GGAAGUAAAAGUCGUAACAAGGUUUCCGUAGGUGAACCUGCGGAAGGAUCAUUAUAAAAUUUUCGUAUAUUUAUUUUUUAAAUAUAUAAAAUUACACAAAAAUGUAUUCAAAACCCACACUCUUGUAACCAUUUAUAAAAAAACAUUAUAUCUCGCAUAUAAUAUUAAUUAAAAACAACUUUCAACAACGGAUCUCUUGGCUCUCGCAUCGAUGAAGAACGCAGCGAAUUGCGAUAAGUAAUGUGAAUUGCAGAAUUACGUGAAUCAUCGAAUCUUUGAACGCAUAUUGCACUCUCUGGUAAUCCGGAGAGUAUGCCUGUUUGAGGGUCAGUAUAAUAUAAUAAUUAUCACGAUCUCACCGAUUGUGGAAUUGGGCUCUUAUUUCGAACAGAUUUAUGGCCUUAAAUUUACGCCAUGCGAUUAAUUCGAACCAAGCGGAGCAAUUAAACAUUCUCUCGUGGACGGAUUAUACUCGCAAGCCAUUACGGUUUUUUGGACGACAAAGCGCUCUCGCGAGCGCGAAGCCCAAAGGACGUAAAUUCAUUGACAAAUGACCUCAAAUCAGGCAAGAAUACCCGCCGAACUUAAGCAUAUCAAUAAGCGGAGGA